Long non-coding RNA from Acromyrmex echinatior (Panamanian leafcutter ant), 1609 nucleotides. Lineage: Eukaryota; Metazoa; Arthropoda; Insecta; Hymenoptera; Formicidae. The record is from RefSeq and is a predicted model, not a curated record.
CAAGCGCAUAAUUAAUCAACAUGCUGAGGCGUGUUCGGAUUCCCAUCUGGGUGUUGUGUCACUCUUGUUUAACAUUCGGUAAAUUACAAGAAUGUGUGAUACCUGGGUAGCACUCGGGUGAAAUCUAAAUAUAAUCCUGAAGAUUCCGCCGUUGCUUGCGCGUACAGCUGGCCACAGAAAAAUUGCAACACUUUUUUUCGAUGGGUUUCGGAAUGCAGCUUGCUCACCGAGCGAUUCUUAUUUAUAGAUCUAUGAGUAAGAACUAGAGACUCUAAAAAGAGAGAGACUCGUCAACUCAUCACGUGACUAUGGGUGAUCCUAAUUGGCUGGAGUCUGGAUUGCACAUCUGUGCUCCAUGAAUAUGUACGAUAACUUGACAAAAUACGUUACGUAUGUUGAAGCAGCUUGUGUUGCCUUUUGACUAUUUUUAAUUUGAAUUUUUAUGUAUUUUGGAGAUGCCACAUACAUGUUGUGCAGAGAGAUGUUUCAAUAAAUCCAGUGAUGGAUAUACAUUAGAUUUCCCAAGUAAAUCAAUAUCGAAAAGCAUGGAUAGAUGCUGUUUUUGGAUCAAGAUAUGGAUAAUCUGAUAUUAUAUGAAGUAUUAAUAGUUAUAACGAAAGUAAUACAAAAUAAACAUAACGGAAAAGCAGAAAAUAAUUUUAUUAAAUUAUAUGAGAGACAAUGAAGAUUUUGCAAGAAGCUGCUUACAUUACAGCAAUGGCAAUAAAAAAAUAUUAAAUAAUAUGUGGGCUUCCAUCACUAUACCCUUAAAUGCUAUUGGAAAUGGACCUUAAAAGCAAGCAAAAGAAUGGCGAAAGACAUGAAACUGAAAAGCAAAUGUGCUAAAAAAGUCACAAAAUCAAAAUUACGCUAGUGGUACAGGUGGAGGAAAGUACCAUCAAAAGUACUUCAGUUAACAGAAGAAAGUUUAUUGGAAAUCAUAGAUCCAGAAGCUACUAGUUUGGAUGAUAUAUACCUGAAGGAGGAAAUUUUAAUAGGACAAUACAGAAGGAUCUGUAUCUACUAAUAAUAUAAUCCCAAAAAGGGAAUUCUUUCAUACUUCUAAAGGAUUGUACAAAACCACUGCGCAAGAAAUCGAAUUAAGAAAACCACUUUUAUCUAAUUUUCUACAAAUGAAAAGGAAACAUACUUCUAUAUUGGAUACUAGCAAUAAAAUGUGUAAGAUGGAUGACAAUCAAAUCUCCAUCAAUAUCCGCAAGCGAACUUCUUGACGACACAGAUUUUUCAACACGAUUAAGUAAAAUCAGUAUAUAUUCUUUAUUAGGAAAUAGAAUGUUUAUGUGUUAUAAUAAAAAAAUAAAAAUGAACAUUUACAGGAAAUGGAAAGCAAUAUUUCUAAACAUAAUGUUUUUGAAUCUGACAAUAAAUCUUUUGAAUCUGCUCUUGAAUUUAAUGACAUUAUUUUCAUAGAUGAAAAUACGAAUACCAUAUCACCUGAGGUCAAUUCUAAACGUUAUCAAGCGCAAGACAAAGUUAUCAAUAGUAAUAAAGAAAAUAAUUCCAGUAUAGCUGUACAAUUAAUGCGUGAGAAUAUGAAAAUGAAAUAAGAAAAAUUGAAGAUUUUUUCUUUAAAGAAAAAUUACUUUUA